AUAUCAAUAAGCGGAGGAAAAGAAACUAACAAGGAUUCCCCUAGUAACGGCGAGUGAAGCGGGAAAAGCUCAAAUUUAAAAUCUGGCUGUCUUAGAUAGUCCGAGUUGUAAUCUGGAGAAGUGUUUUCUGCGCUGGACCGUGUACAAGUCUCUUGGAAUAGAGCGUCAUAGAGGGUGAGAAUCCCGUCUUUGACACGGACUACCAGGGCUAUAUGAUACACUCUCGAAGAGUCGAGUUGUUUGGGAAUGCAGCUCAAAAUGGGUGGUAAAUUCCAUCUAAAGCUAAAUAUAGGCGAGAGACCGAUAGCGAACAAGUACCGUGAGGGAAAGAUGAAAAGCACUUUGGAAAGAGAGUUAAACAGUAC
RNAcentral lists this ribosomal RNA (365 nucleotides) under uncultured fungus. Its description in RNAcentral is "eukaryotic LSU rRNA". It matches the Rfam family "Eukaryotic large subunit ribosomal RNA", at positions 40 to 398 of the family's 3401-position model. The record is from RNAcentral. Lineage: Eukaryota; Fungi.